CGGGGUGAGUAACGCGUGGGUAACCUGCCUUGUACUGGGGGACAACAGUUAGAAAUGACUGCUAAUACCGCAUAAGCGCACAGUAUCGCAUGAUACAGUGUGAAAAACUCCGGUGGUACAAGAUGGACCCGCGUCUGAUUAGCUAGUUGGUAAGGUAACGGCUUACCAAGGCGACGAUCAGUAGCCGACCUGAGAGGGUGAUCGGCCACAUUGGGACUGAGACACGGCCCAA
Molecule: ribosomal RNA, 232 nt
Filed under: uncultured bacterium
Lineage: Bacteria
Description: partial 16S ribosomal RNA
Rfam family: Bacterial small subunit ribosomal RNA
Source: RNAcentral